GGCAGGGUGGCUUAGUGGUUAGCACAAUUCCCAACAUCUCUGGGGUUGGGGGUUCGAUUCCCGCCUCUGUCC
This is a non-coding RNA of Pangasianodon gigas (Mekong giant catfish), 72 nucleotides long. The record is from the annotation of a GenBank genome assembly. NCBI's taxonomy places the organism in Eukaryota, Metazoa, Chordata, Actinopteri, Siluriformes, Pangasiidae.